GGUUGUGGCUCAGUGGUAGAGCACUUGCCUAGCACGUGAGAGGCCCUGGAUUCAAUCCUCAGCACCA
Molecule: non-coding RNA, 67 nt
Organism: Ictidomys tridecemlineatus (thirteen-lined ground squirrel)
Lineage: Eukaryota; Metazoa; Chordata; Mammalia; Rodentia; Sciuridae
Source: Rfam